Molecule: ribosomal RNA, 305 nt
Filed under: uncultured bacterium
Lineage: Bacteria
Description: bacterial SSU rRNA
Rfam family: Bacterial small subunit ribosomal RNA
Source: RNAcentral
UGGUCCUCGGGACGCAGCAGUGGGGGAUAUUGCACAAUGGGGGGAACCCUGAUGCAGCAACGCCGCGUGGGUGAAGGAGUACCCCGGUACGUAAAGCCCUAUCGGCAGGGAAGAAGAUGACGGUACCUGACUAAGAAGCCCCGGCUAACUACGUGCCAGCAGCCGCGGUAAUACGUAGGGGGCAAGCGUUAUCCGGAUUUACUGGGGGUAAGGGGAGCGCAGACGGCAGUGCAAGUCUGGAGUGAAAGCCCGGGGCUCAACCCCGGGACUGCUUUGGAAACUGCGUAGCUGGAGUGCUGGAGAGG